Molecule: ribosomal RNA, 406 nt
Filed under: uncultured bacterium
Lineage: Bacteria
Description: partial 16S ribosomal RNA
Rfam family: Bacterial small subunit ribosomal RNA
Source: RNAcentral
AUUGAACGCUGGCGGCAGGCCUACCACAUGCAAGUCGCACGAGUGGCGGACGGGUGAGUAAUGUCUGGGAAACUGCCUGAUGGAGGGGGAUAACUACUGGAAACGGUAGCUAAUACCGCAUCCCAUCGGAUGUGCCCAGAUGGGAUUAGCUAGUAGGUGGGGUAAAGGCUCACCAAGGCGACGAUCCCUAGCUGGUCUGCGAGGCUGACCAGCCACACUGGAACUGAGACACGGUCCAGACUCCGACGGGAGGCAGCAGUAGGGAAUAUUGCACAAUGGGCGAAAGCCUGAUGGAGCAAUGCCGCGUGUAUGAAGAAGGUCUUCGGGUUGUAAAGUACUGUUAGCGGAGAGGCGGUAUCCGCAGAGGAAGCACCGGCUAACUCCGUGCCAGCAGCCGCGGUAAUUC